Molecule: ribosomal RNA, 403 nt
Filed under: uncultured bacterium
Lineage: Bacteria
Description: partial 16S ribosomal RNA
Rfam family: Bacterial small subunit ribosomal RNA
Source: RNAcentral
AUUGAACGCUGGCGGCAGGCCUAACACAUGCAAGUCGAGCGAGCGGCGGACGGGCGAGUAAUGUAUGGGGACUGCCCGAUAGAGGGGGAUAACUACUGGAAACGGUGGCUAAUACCGCAUACUACCGUAUAACCCAUAUGGGAUUAUAUAGUAGGUGGGGUAAAGGCUCACCUAGGCGACGAUCCCGAGCUGGUCUGAGAGGAGGAGCAGCCACAAGGGGACUGAGACACGGCCCAGACUCCUACGGAGGCAGCAGUGGGGAAUAUUGCGCAAUGGGCGCAAGCCUGAUGCAGCCAUGCCGCGUGUAUGAAGAAGGCCUUAGGGUUGUAAAGUGCUUUCAGCUGGGAGGCGUUACCCGCAGAAGAAGCACCGGCUAACUCCGUGCCAGCAGCCGCGGUAAUAC